Molecule: long non-coding RNA, 953 nt
Organism: Oncorhynchus gorbuscha (pink salmon)
Lineage: Eukaryota; Metazoa; Chordata; Actinopteri; Salmoniformes; Salmonidae
Exons: 2
Source: RefSeq, a predicted model, not a curated record
GGAGAGGGAGAGAGUAUUCACCCUGCAGACCCUAAUUGACAAACAACCAUACCAUAACAAAGGGACAUGGGGGGGAGACAGGGAUGCAGUUUGAGCCCCACCUUCAACGUAUUGUCAUGCCUGCUCCCUGGCACUCGAGGACACCAGGCUACCUGUCUUUACACACACCUGUAACCAUCAUUACGUACAGCAGCGCUCAUUGGACUCACCUGGAUUCCUUCACGUGGUUGAUUGCCCCUGAAUAUCUGUCUGUUCCUCUGUGGUGUUCCCUGUGUCCGCAUUAGUUAUUGUUAUGUGUUCCAGUCCAGAUGCUGUUCCUGUUCUGUUUCAUGUCAGUUAUUAAACCUUCACUCCCUGUACCUGCUUUUCAUCUCCUGCAUCAAUCCUUUCAGAAUGCGGACACCAUUACAAGAAGCAUCAGGGAGUUUUUUAGGGUUUUGUUUUGUUGGUGACCUCGGACCCCGGGGCCGCCGCCGAUGGAACCGGGGGUGCCCUAGCUGACUCGUUGGGCUGUCAUGCCCUACCUGGCUCGAGAGGUUUCCUAGCCCCGGUUGGCUUGGAGGGUCUCCAUCCCAUAUCAUGCUUCAGCUGGCCCAUUGGGCUUCUAUGCUGCACCGGGAUCGUCAGGCUGACACGCCUCGGCUGGCCUGUCAGGCUUGCCCAGAUGGUACCAGGUGGCUCGCCCAGGGGUACUGUCUUACCUACUCCUGCUCCCCCUCCCUGGCGCUCGGGGGCACCAGGCUACCCAUCUUUACACACAACUGUCACCAUCAUUUCGCAAAGCAGUGCUCAUUGGACUCACCUGGACUCCUUCACGUGGUUGAUUGCCCCUGUGUAUCUGUCUGUUCCUCCGUGGUGUUCCCUGUGUCCGUAUUAAGUUUUAUGUGUUCCUGUCCAGAUGCUGUUCCUGUUCUGUUUCAUGGCCGUCAGUUAUUAAACCUUCAUUCCCUGUA